AACGAACGCUGGCGGCAUGCCUAACACAUGCAAGUCGAACGAGACCUUCGGGUCUAGUGGCGCACGGGUGCGUAACGCGUGGGAACCUGCCCUUAGGUUCGGAAUAACUCCCCGAAAGGGGUGCUAAUACCGGAUAAUGUCUUCGGACCAAAGAUUUAUCGCCUUUGGAUGGGCCCGCGUUGGAUUAGCUAGUUGGUAGGGUAAAAGCAUACCAAGGCGACGAUCCAUAGCUGGUCUGAGAGGAUGAUCAGCCACACUGGGACUGAGACACGGCCCAGACUCCUACGGGAGGCAGCAGUGGGGAAUAUUGGACAAUGGGCGAAAGCCUGAUCCAGCAAUGCCGCGUGAGUGAUGAAGGCCUUAGGGUUGUAAAGCUCUUUUACCCGGGAUGAUAAUGACAGUACCGGGAGAAUAAGCUCCGGCUAACUCCGUG
Molecule: ribosomal RNA, 433 nt
Filed under: uncultured bacterium
Lineage: Bacteria
Description: partial 16S ribosomal RNA
Rfam family: Bacterial small subunit ribosomal RNA
Source: RNAcentral